RNAcentral lists this transfer RNA (70 nucleotides) under marine eukaryotic metagenome. It matches the Rfam family "tRNA". Rfam says of the family: Transfer RNA (tRNA) molecules are approximately 80 nucleotides in length. Their secondary structure includes four short double-helical elements and three loops (D, anti-codon, and T loops). Further hydrogen bonds mediate the characteristic L-shaped molecular structure. tRNAs have two regions of fundamental functional importance: the anti-codon, which is responsible for specific mRNA codon recognition, and the 3' end, to which the tRNAs corresponding amino acid is attached (by aminoacyl-tRNA synthetases). tRNAs cope with the degeneracy of the genetic code in two manners: having more than one tRNA (with a specific anti-codon) for a particular amino acid; and 'wobble' base-pairing, i.e. permitting non-standard base-pairing at the 3rd anti-codon position. The record is from RNAcentral.
CGAAGUAGCUCAACUGGUAGAGCACCUGAUUUGUAAUCAGGGGGUUGGGGGUUCAAGUCCCUUCUUCGGC